CCUACGGGAGGCAGCAGUGGGGAAUAUUGCACAAUGGGGGAAACCCUGAUGCAGCGACGCCGCGUGAGUGAGGAAGUAUUUCGGUAUGUAAAGCUCUAUCAGCAGGGAAGAAAAUGACGGUACCUGACUAAGAAGCCCCGGCUAACUACGUGCCAGCAGCCGCGGUAAUACGUAGGGGGCAAGCGUUAUCCGGAUUUACUGGGUGUAAAGGGAGCGUAGACGGUUAAUCAAGUCAGAAGUGAAAACGCAGGGCUCAACCUUGGGACUGCUUUUGAAACUGAGUAGCUAGAGUGCAGGAGAGGUAAGCGGAAUUCCUAGUGUAGCGGUGAAAUGCGUAGAUAUUAGGAGGAACACCAGUGGCGAAGGCGGCUUACUGGACUGUAACUGACGUUGAGGCUCGAAAGCGUGGGGAGCAAACAGGAUUAGAUACCCCAGUAGUC
RNAcentral lists this ribosomal RNA (440 nucleotides) under uncultured bacterium. RNAcentral describes it as "partial 16S ribosomal RNA". It matches the Rfam family "Bacterial small subunit ribosomal RNA", at positions 338 to 795 of the family's 1533-position model. The record is from RNAcentral.